Molecule: long non-coding RNA, 1438 nt
Filed under: Monodelphis domestica (gray short-tailed opossum)
Lineage: Eukaryota; Metazoa; Chordata; Mammalia; Didelphimorphia; Didelphidae
Description: lncRNA (ENSMODG00000047875.1)
Source: RNAcentral
AUGAAGAACUUGUGACCGACAAAACUGGCUUGCUCAGGGUCCCACAGCUACGGGGUGUCUGAGGUCAUGUCUGACGGAGGUUGUCCUGUGUCUAGGUGAGACGCUCUUCACCGUACCAUCGAAGGACCCAAUCAAAGACAGGAAGGUGCUGAGGCUCUCUGGGGGCAAGGACACGCAUAGAGACGUGGAUGUUGUCGUGUGUCUAUGUAUAUUUGCACAUAUGCAUGCUGCUGCUUCUGUCCUCGGUCUUGCUUCUAUCACAGGCUACUCCCCAGGAAGAAAUGGUCUCUAUGUGGGAAACAGGCUCAUCCCAAAGGACAGAACUAAAAGGACUUUGGAGACGAUCUAAUCCAAGCCCUUUAUGUUAGACAAGAAUGCCAGGGUCCAAUGGUGGUCCUGGGGGCUCAGCCAUUAUGCUUCUCACGUCAGAGAGCCAAUGGCAGCUAGCAGCUGGGUCCAGGGGCACAACGUCAGGAUGGCACCCUUGGGCAACAGCUUCUCCAAGGAAAUGACGCCCUCACUGCCCUGUCCAGUUCAUGCCAUCGACGAGGGAUCUCCGGACAGCAUCAGCACUCCAGGGAGGGAGCUCAGGGCUAGAGCAAAGCAGAAUCAGGAGCAGUGGACAUUGAAGAGAGACAGACAACUGGAGCUAUCCACAGCCUCCCUGGCAGUCCUCAGGAAGAAGCUGACCAAGUAGGACCGAGGUCCAAGGAGGUUGUCUCUGGCCCAAGAUCACAUCGCAAGCUGAGUGCAUUCCCAAUGCUUCUUGGGAUAGGCUUCAUUUGGCCUCCACUUCUAAACUCUCCUCCAUGCCCUCCCCCAAUUGGAGAGGGAUCCGGGUCCCUUUCUUUCAGCUCCCUCUCUGCCUCCCCAGGAAGACAUUUGGGGAAUUGGCUAAGUGAUCAAUAGCCUUAUCCGUAAUAAUAAGGGCCUUGAGUCAUGUUGGGCUCUGAGUUGUUUUUGAGACAGAGAGAUGGAGACAGAGAAGGACAGAGAUGGAAAGAAGAGACCUCCGAGUGAACAAUAGGAGGAAGGCUCCCCAGGAGAGAGGGAGAUCGGAUUUGAGUCACAGGCAAGCCGACACUGGCAAACAGGUAUCCGGGAUAACAUUUUUAGCUUUCAGCACAAGGGGGGCCAAGACAGCACUGUGAGCACUCAUCCUCACCUUAGAGCCCAGGACUGCGGCUGGCUCCCUGCUUCCCUCCAGCAGUCUGCCCUUAUACCUUAAGAAUUCCAGGGUUUCGUGUUCUGAACACCUGCAAGCAGAAGCAUCUCUUCCUGUGGGGGCCCUCCCUACACUGCUAUCUCCCCCCAUGGCACCUAGUACCUCCACCUCACUGCAACACCUCAGUCUUCAAUUGGAAUCAUCCUAAACUAGGCGGGCUGGACGAGCUGGAGGUAAUGGUGAACAGCUCCUGUGGCUCUCAACGAUGAAUGG